UGGGGAAUAUUGGACAAUGGGCGAAAGCCUGAUCCAGCCAUGCCGCGUGUGUGAAGAAGGUCUUCGGAUUGUAAAGCACUUUAAGUUGGGAGGAAGGGCAGUAAGCGAAUACCUUGCUGUUUUGACGUUACCGACAGAAUAAGCACCUGCUAACUCUGUGCCAGCAGCCGCGGUAAUACAGAGGGUGCAAGCGUUAAUCGGAAUUACUGGGCGUAAAGCGCGCGUAGGUGGUUCGUUAAGUUGAAUGUGAAAGCCCCGGGCUCAACCUGGGAACUGCAUCCAAAACUGGCGAGCUAGAGUAGGGCAGAGGGUGGUGGAAUUUCCUGUGUAGCGGUGAAAUGCGUAGAUAUAGGAAGGAACACCAGUGGCGAAGGCGACCACCUGGGCUCAUACUGACACUGAGGUGCGAAAGCGUGGGGAGCAAACAGG
RNAcentral lists this ribosomal RNA (429 nucleotides) under Pseudomonadota bacterium. Its description in RNAcentral is "Proteobacteria bacterium partial 16S ribosomal RNA". It matches the Rfam family "Bacterial small subunit ribosomal RNA", at positions 355 to 776 of the family's 1533-position model. The record is from RNAcentral. Lineage: Bacteria; Pseudomonadati; Pseudomonadota.